Molecule: long non-coding RNA, 14740 nt
Organism: Rattus norvegicus (Norway rat)
Lineage: Eukaryota; Metazoa; Chordata; Mammalia; Rodentia; Muridae
Source: RefSeq, a predicted model, not a curated record
CUCCCUAGGCUCUGCACAAAGCCCCUUCAUUUGGUCGUUGUGUGAGCCUCACCCCUGGUCCUGCCUCCACUCUACGGGUCUACCCCCCAUUUCCCUGUGUACAUAAGGCUUUCGGCUCCUUUCAGCCAAAGGAAACAGCCGUGUUCUGAUAGUGGAGGCAGGACAUGCUUUCUUGGCAGGUUGUUCAUCUGCCAGCAUUCCUGUUUGCUAUGCGUUUCUGAGCUCCGGAUAUCAAUCACCAUCUUGAUAGGCGGAGACUGGAAGAGAGAACACAAAUGGUCUUCCAUUACAGUCAAGCUGGGUAUACUUGCUGUGAAUCUGCACCAAGGACAGCUGAGGGAACGUGAUGGGUGCCUGCCAUUAGCAGCUUACGGUGGAAUGCAGGAAGGAGUCAUCACAGGCAUACAAGUGUGCCAUACUAAUGAGAACAAGUCACGAAAAGGCCCUGUGCAGACAUCUUGGUGUAGAGGAAGGUGGCAGCUAUGUUAGCGGGAGCAGUGCAUAUGAAGGAUAGGUAUGAGCCAUUAUGGCUGUGCAAAGGCCCUGAGGCUAAAGUCAGUAAAGUCUAUCAGAGGGAUGCAAGAAAGUGUGAGGUAGCAGAGCAUGAAAAGCGAAGGGAAAGAGCUCAAGAAGUAGGCAGGAAGCUGGGACCUGCUGGGGAAAGCUCGCCAUGUCGCCAUGUCACCAUGUCAUCACAGAGAUGUGGGUCUUAUCCUGAGAAUACUGGAGAAUCAUGGGACACUUCGGGGAGGUGUGUGAAGGUGUGUGUGUGUGUGUGCACGUGCGCGUGUGUAUGUGCUUGCGUGUGUAAGAUGAUAGAUUGGAGAUCACUCAUUCAUUUACGUUUGCGUGUACUUGUAGCUAUUUUAUGAUCUAUGUGUUUUAUUUUUAUGUGUAUGCAUGCUUGCCUAUGUGUGUGCAUGUGCACCAUAUGUGUAUCUGGUACCCUCAGGUUAGAAGAGGAUGUUGGAUACCCUGGCAUUGGAGCUACAGAUGAUUGUGAAUCAGCAUGUGGGUGAUAGGAACCACCAAGGUCCUUUGCAAGAGCACCUAGCACUCUUAACUGCUGAGCCAUGACUCCAGCCGUGACACACACAUAUUUUUAACUAUACUUGGGCUUUGAAAAGCACUUUACUAUAGUCUCCAGCCAGGUUGGUUUUUCUCCCCCAAGACAAGAUCUUGCUAAGUUAUUCAGGCUGGUCUGGAACUGACUACACAGCCACAAGCUCAUGAUCCUCCUGUCUCUACCUUUCGAGUGUUAGAUUAUGGGAGGGCACUGCUCCACCUGACUCAAGGUUUUAGAGGAUUCUUAUGGAGCUAGAGAGAUGGCUUGGCAGUUUAGAGUACUUGUUACUCUUGCUGAAGGUCCGAGGUCAAUUCCAUACACUCAUAUAGUUGUCCAUGAGCAUCUGUAACUCUAGUUCCAGGGGAUCCAAUACCCUCUUCUCACCUCCUCAGACACCACACACACACACACACACACACACACACACACACACACACACACAUACAUACAUACACACACUCACAAACACACUCACACACAUAUACACACUCACACAAACACACAAACACUCACACACACCACUCACACACAUACACACAUAUAUACACAGUCAAACACACACUCACACACCACACACUCACAUACCACACAUUCACACAAUACAUACAUACCACACACACACACCACACACACACUCACACACAUACACACAUACACACUCACACAUAUACACUCACACACUCACACACAUAUACACAUAUACACACACAUACACUCACACACACACACCACACAGUCACACACAUAUACACACUCACACACAUACACCCACACCCACACCACACACUCACACACAUACACACACAUAUACACACAUACACAAACACACACACACACACACACACUACACAGAUAUACAUGGAGACAAAAACACUCAUACAUAUAAACUAAACCCCUUUAAAGCGCAUUCUGACAUGGUCUGGUGGUCUGAAUCAGGGUGCAAGUGGUGACGGGAGGAGAAAUGGACUCACUUGGAAGCCAGCACGAGUCUGAACGGCAGAGAGGGAUGAUGCUCAGGGGUGGAGGGAGCAAGAAGCAAGAGUGGUGUACUAGGCAUGACAUCUGUGCUGAUCCUCCCAGCAAACCUAAGUGGCCCUGCCUACUCCUCAGGGAGAUGGCGAUCUGAGGUGAACAGGACGGGCAGGGUGACAGCAGACCGACUGGGAACGGGCCAUGAGCUGUAGUGCCCUAGGCUUCCAUGAUACUGAGUCUGCGACCACUGGGCCAGGCUAACAUUGCUGCAGGCCUCUGCAUUGGCUGCUCCAAGCAUAGACCAGACUGCCCUGCAGAGGGAGAGCUCUCUGCAUCACCGAUGCUUUCUCUGUAGAACCCUUCAUCUGAAGUUGCCUCAACCCCUCUUGACCUCCUUACUCUACUUGCCCCACGGUGCCUAACACAGGAAACUUCUUUAUUCUUGUGUUUGUGUUCCCCGUCCCCAAGAAUACUUCCGAGACGAGAGAAACCCUGGUUUCUACUCAAAGAGAGAGAAACACCUAGUACCUACUCAAAGACAAAGACAAAUGAAUGAGUGACCCCUAAAGACUAAAGUCCCUGCUGCCCCCUCCUCAGGCUAUGUGGGCACCCACACUAGCCUUGACCCUGGACUUAGCAAUGAAUGAUGGGUGCCCUAGUUGGGUUUUGGCAGCCCCUCCCCUCUGGUUUAUUCUGCCUCCAGCUCCAGAGGGGCACAGGUGAGUGAUGGAUUCCCAAGAAACAGUAUUUCCAUGCCUUCCUUUGCCAAGCAGAACCAGCUGCGUGAGUAUAUUUCCAACCCCAAGCCUUGGCCUGCAGAGCAGAUGGGACAGGACCCCUACUGGAGUGCUCGUCCACGCCCACGGCUAGGAGCACUCCCAGGCAAAUACUGCUCGCACCGCAGAUUCCUUGUUAUUUUUGCUCCCUGGUUUCCCCUAUAGAUCUCAGGGCCAAAGUCAACUGCACUUGCGGUUCAUUCCUGGUUCUUUUUAACCUGGGCUAUAAGAUGGGGUUUGUUCCUCCUGGCUCAGUUCCUUCUUGGAAAAUGCACCAGCUUCUCCCCUUACUCCAACUUCAUUUCAAAGAGGCACGGAUUUCAAAACACGCAGUUAGGGACUGUGUUCUUGAGGGGGGAAAACAGGGCACCGAAAGCCCCAGCCAGGCCUGGCAGAGCCCACCGAACGCACAGAUGAAGACGUAGCACCCAGUGAAUUGUUAGCUCCCACAAGCAAGUCCAAGAGCUGUGUAUAGGUUUUCCUUUUCUUUCCUAUGCCUCUGGUCUCCUCCAACGUAGAAGGGAUAGGAUUAGCCACCAUCUCACUGUAUCAUAUGCAGCUCACUGACUGAACACACAUAACACAGCAGUAGAGAAGCCAUCAUCCCACCUCAAAGCUCAACUGGAAAUGGAGGUGGGUCGGGGACAAUAGACAAUCCUAAAAACCCACUGACUUGCACAGAACACUGCUCUCCAGCUGCCUCUGGAGGAACAACAGUAUAGCCACAUUCUGGCAGGGCCUCACACUGCAGACCCACAUGCUGGCAGAGCUGCGGUUCCGACAGGAGAUGGAAAAAAGACAAAAGCACGUGAGGAUUCUCACUUCACGGGGAGUGAGUUUCUUGCAAGAACUGAGGGAGAUGAGCUAACAGGAAGGAGGUAAAUAGUACUAAGUGCCUAGUAAUGAAACGAGCUCAGCUUGGAGAGAUGUUGUAGAGGACAUGUUCACUGUCUGAGCAUUCCCACAUCACCCUUCACCUGGACCUGGACCCAGGAGUAACAGCAUCAUCUUCGACUGUGUGGUGAGCACCUUCUCUCCUCAUGAUUGUGCACUGUUCACGGUGAUGGAGUAUACUGUGUGGUGAACCCAUUAUAGACACAGUUCCUGAUGAGGACAUCACUCUUAUCCGUCUUUAAGCCAGAACACUGGAGAUUCUGAAAUCCCCAGGAGCUUGUCCAGGAAACAGAGCAAGGAGCUCCUGAAAGGGAGCGGGUCACACCCUAUAACACAGGCUCCUCUUCAACACAAUGUCUGUUUUCCUCAGUCAAGAAAGACUCGUUUGGGGGCUGGAGAGACGGCUCAGCAUGAGAGGUGUUUUGCAGAGCACCUGAGUUCAGAUACCAGCACUCAAGUCAGGUGGCUCACAACCUCCUCUAAGUCCAGCUCCAGAGGAUCUAUCGCCCUCCUCUGGCCUCCCCAAGUACCUCUGCAUAUGCAUGUCCAUAUUCUCAGCAUGCCAGGCUCCCACCACCCUGCCACCAUUCAAUGCCCGGGCUCGGACCUUCCCUCACUCAGCCUUUCUCACCCCACAGGAUGUCAAGGGCCAGCUGGUGGCCGUGGGGUGUGACUCACGCCCGCAUUGCUUCUUAGAAUAGGUUCAUCCUGCUUUCACCCCAGCUGUUGUCUCCUUCUCCCCCGACCCACCUUAUCCUCCUAUGGCUCAGCUCCUGUCCAACCCCACCCCUCCAUGCUCCUCAGAGCCAUAGCCUGUCCCCUCCUUAAGUAAACAUCUCUUAUGACACUCUGAUGCUUCCUCUCGACUAAACACAGAUCUUCUCAUCAGGUGCAUCCCCGUACCCCAGCCACUCAGCACAUUCUCUGAACUAUUACUAGAAGUCAUUUUGUCUGUGGAUCUCAUUGGAUUUCUCUGACACUCAGUCACUCCAGCACUCACUGAGGGAGGUGGUGCAGACUCAGAGUGGAGCUCAUGGACCUGAAUCUGACCUUUGCACUUGCGCACUAGGCUUCAGCAAACAUCUGACUUGCUUGCCUGCCGAACAGAGAUAAGGGCAGUGCUUAUUUCUCUUAAGUGUGUGUGUGUGUGUGUGUGUGUGUGUGUGUGUGAGAGAGAGAGAGAGAGAGAGUGUGUGUGUGAGAGAGAGAGUGUGUGUGUGAGAGAGAGUAUGUGUGGGAGAGUGUGUGUGAGAGAGAAUGUGUUUGUGUGUGUGUGUGUGUGUGUGUGUGUGUGAGAGAGAGAGAGAGAGAGAGAGAGAGAGAGAGAGAGAGAGAGAACAUGAAUGCAGUGCCCACAGAGGCCAGAAGAGGGCACACCUUUGUAGAUGAUAGGAACCAAACUGAGGCCCUCUAAAGAGCAGUAUUUGCUUAACCACUGAACUGUCUCUCUAGCUCCUCAUAGUAGUAAUUACUGUUGUGCUGAUUAUAUGAGACCAUCCCUAAACAACUUCAGUUGUUGAUCUGAAUGUAGUAUUCAUUUCUCUUUUAAAUUAUGUGUGCACACAUGUGUGGGUGUGUAUGUGUAUGCACGCACACACACAUGCGUGCUCAUGUGUAUUCAGUUCAAUACUCCUGCUGCCACGUAAUAGUAAGUAAAAGACUGCAUUUCCCAUACCUACCAGCAAACUUUAACCUCACCCAUUUUUAUAUAAAUCCCCUCGGCUUGUGUUUCUGAAACCUUAUGAGGGGUAGGAGUUAGUCUCCUUCAGGAAGGUCAGGAACUAACCUCACACCCAGCUAGCAGGGGGCAGCAGAGCCAACCCCUUGACUUUGGGUGCCAAACUUCCCUCUCUUCAUCACGGUUUGUCUGCUGCUUCCUUCAGCCCAAAUCUGAAUGCAUCAACUCAGCCAGGGCCAAAGAGAAGAAUUCCAAUGUUGCAUGAGUUUUCCUCCUGAAAAUUAACAGAAGCUCAAGGUCUUCCUACACCCAAUGAGGCCAACUGUGCCUCAACUAAACCCACUUCCCCACAGUCCUGCCACAGAUCUGACUGACAGUGCCCAGACUCCCACCACUUAGAGCAACAGACUUUUGUACCUGCAUUGGGCUGCUGUGGGACCCUGCCCCAGCACCUAGCUCUCCCCUGAAGGUCAGCUGAGACCAGUACCUCCUGCAGACAGGGCCCUGUCCCAUAGCCGCAUGUUUUCACAGAAAGGUUUGCAAGGGUGGACCAGCUAGACCUGCACAGGGCCAACUCAGCAAAGGGAUUCUGAAUGUAAAGAAAGCAGACACAAAUGGCACAUUGGGAAAUAAGCCUGUGUUCCCAGCCUGGCGAUGGGGCACCCCUAUCCCAACCCAGUUGGUGUUUUGAGCUCUCAGCAGCUUCAUUGUGACUGGCGUAUCAGCCCGGAAUAGUUUCACGCUCCAUACUCAUCAGCCUAGGGCAGGCAGAGAGGAAAAUCUGCCAGUCUCUGAAAAGGCUCUGCCAGGAGGCCUGCCCUCUCUCCUUACAUAGUAAAUCGAGAAAGCCAAGAGGGCUGAAUCAAGAGAGAAAGAACAUGAAAACAGUCCCACAGAGGAGCUUAUGUCUGACCGUGCUGUCCCUUCCUCAAAACCUUCACGAUUGUUUCUGCCUUCAGAAUAGAUUCUUAGGAUGGCUUUUCAACAUGCUUUAAACAUUGAUCCAAUGUGAGAUUAAUGUUUUUCCCUCACCCAUGUCUUCUUGGACCUCAUAUAUGACCUGAUUUGAAAAUAAGGUCUUUGAAGAUGUGAUUAACUAAAAUGAAUUCUUUCUGGAUUUGAGUAGACCGUGAAUUAAAAAGAAUGAAAGUCCUUGUGCAGGUUUUAUACAUGAGGCUCUUGAAGCUCUGAAAACAAGCGCUGAGCUGCGUGGGGCUUCCUGGGAGCUCUCCAUAGGCAGGCAGACCUGACUAAUACCUGGGUUUCCUUCCACCCUUCCUCCACACAGAAACAAAGACGUGCCCUCUCAGAGCUGGAGAGGUGAGACUCACCAACGCAUCCAAGUGCCACAAGAAGGAGGGUUGCAGAGGCUGGCACAAGGAGACAGCCUUUCAGUGAGAUGGGCAGAGAGAUCAUGCAUGAGUUUCAGUGAGAAAUCUCUUCCUGGAGAGGAAAUCUCUUCCAGGGUUUCAGUAUGUGUCGUGUGGAGAAUGCAGGAGUUGACCCACAGGAGUGAGUCUACACUACCUGGAACUAAUGACCACAAGAACGAUCGCAGUGCCAAACUCAGCAGCUUCAGUCCUAACAGGCCUGUGACAACCCCAGCUGGAAAUGGCAUUUACACCUAGCAGUCAGGGAUGAGUAAAGGACAGCCUAGUCUAACAGUUAAAUCCUUCCAGCUCCUCAUGGCAACUAUGCUACAGAGUAUUUCAUAGCAGGGAAUGGUGUCCUUGGGAGGUAAAGUCUUUGCAAAUAUAGCUUUCACAAUGCAUAGUUGUUAAUUAGUAAGGGAGGGAAAAAAAACACUGUCAAGGGAUAGUGACCAAAUUAUUCACAAUUUUUACCCCAGAGGUAGGAUGACAGGGAAUUUAAUUAUCCUUUUCCCUUGUUUACACAACUGUGCUUUUCUGUGAUAAGUAUAUCAUGCUUUUGCAACAAAAGCAGAGGGUAGGGAGGAGUAUAGGGUCAUACGUGUGAUUAAGUGUUUACUGGCAGGCAUGACUAAGAAAAAAAAUUACCCAGUAGCACCCAUGUGGCCCUCCAGGUUCACAGCCGGGCUUCAACCGCUCUAUUCCCAUUGUUUGCUGACCCUUCUACAUUAACCCGCCCACAUCCCCUUAAUAAUCACUUUAAAUGACACCAACACAUUUGUGGCCCACACUGGGCAGUGCCAUUAGUUCUUGGGGCUAGAGGUUCCUUUUUAAAAUGUUAGAUAAACUAUUUGUGAUUGGCAGAUGUGGCUGUGGCCAGCAGAUCCAUGGUUCUGGACUUGAGCCAUGGAGUCAGAAACAGCCUUUGCCUCCCAGGUAUUGAAUGCCUGAGCCAUCAGCCUGUGCCUAAGUCAGGACUGAAGAGGCCUCGGGGGAGCAACCUGCCACCCUGUCCCUGUUUAAUUCCUGCCUCUCCUACAUGCUGCACACAGGUUCAGAGCCCACAUGGCUUCACUCCACAACGGAAAAGGGCAAAGGGUAAAUAUCCGUAUGUUCCAAAGCCAAGCAGGAAGAAGGUUAUGACAGUAAACUGCAGGAGAUGAACAGAGACUACCAGGUACUAAUUUGGAUGGACUGACCAAGAAAGAACAAAGGCACCAGGCAGUAAGAGCCAAGUUCUGCUCUGUCUGUGGGAGGCACUUAAGCUACUGGAAGCAACAAUGGCCUUGAGUUAGGAAUGGGCUUAGGAAACUGAAAGCAGCAGGUGACGUAAAACUACUUAGGUGAACUUAUGGAGGCGAGAUCCAGAGACUGGGAGGGACAUCACUCCUCUCCCCUAUCAGGUAUGGUCCCUUGCUUCCUGCCUGGCUCCGUGUACCAGUUGUCUCCACUUCCAGCCCAGAAGGAGAGCAAGCCACUGAAACCUUGGCCUGUUGACCAGCAUGGUUCAGUGCGUUAAGAAUUCAUUCUUUGAAGCCAGACUUCCUUGUGAGUCCCUGAUCAUGAGUCAGCUAGCUUGCACAGAAGCCCAGGGAUAAGCAAACUGGAUUCUUCUGUAGGAGAGGGAUGGAGAAAAGCCCCAUAUGGUAGCAUCCGCCAGCUUUCAAGGUAUAAAUAAAAUCCUAGCACUGAACCUGAUUUCAGCAAGCAACAUAGCAUCACAGGACAUGGAGUUGGGGACACAUGCCCACAGUGGGUUCUCAGGAGCUGGACCUAGCCAACACACUGUCACCCCAAUUCUUUCAUCUAUGAGUUUAAUUCUAUCUCACAGGGUACCUGAUGGGGCUCAGAUGAGCUAUACACACAAGCGCUUCACAUGGUGUGUAGUGUAUGGUUAGUGCUCCAGAACUGAAAGCUACAGAUCUUGCCUGAGAGGGCAUCAUCGGGUAGACCUGGCUGGUUCUCGUAUAAGAAUCAUCUCCAGUAAGAGAAAGCAAAGGGUCUGGGAGGAGGUUAGGGGCCCGUCCUGACUCACUUCUACCUUCCUGUGUGGUUUCAGGCAAGUUGCUUUCCUUCUCUUUGAGGUGAAGGGUAGACCCUUCUCUCUCUCUCUCUCUCUCUCUCUCUCUCUCUCUCUCUCUCUCUCUCUCUCUUUUUAAGAGUUUUUUGUUGUUGUUGUUUUUAAUUUAAGAUUUGAUUAUUUUUUAAUGUAUAUCAGUAUACUGUUGCUCUCUACAGACACACCAGAAGAGGGCAUCAGAUCCCAUUACAAAUGGUCAUGAGCCACCAUGUGGUUGCUGGGAAUUGAACUCAGGACCCCUGGAAGAGCAGCCAGUGCUCUUAACCAGUGAGUCAUGCCUCCAGCCUGCGUAUACCUUCUUGAUGGGACAUUCUGAAACUUCCUGCUAUGGGGAAACUUUCUGGAAGCAGCACCAAGAGUGGCUGAGGGAUGCCAAGGCAGUGUGCAAGUGGGCGGAGUUGCCUAGAAAUCAUCUGUAUUAAAAGCCAAACUAUCAGAGGUAGCCAGUGUGUCAGGGUUUGGGACGGCAAGUUUCCGGGAAAGGUGGAGGCCUGCAAGGACACACGGCAUAGGCAAGGGUGAGAAGGGUAGGAUCUGUCCACUGGAGAAGGCCUGGGAUUAGAGGAUGUCUCUAAUAAACAUUUCACAAGGAAGGCUACCCUGCCAAGCUUUGCACACAGAGAACGGAAUCGAGAAAGGAGAUAUCAAUAAAACCUUGGACGAGACGGAUAUUCCAUAAGCAAAGAGAGGGAAGGGAAGGUAAAAAUGACCAAGAGGGGAGCAAGGCGGCAGCAGAGAUAGCUCAGCCAUUAAGACUGCUCGCUGCUCUUACAGUGGACCAGAGUUUGGUUCCCAGCACCCAUGCCAGCUCACAACCACCUAUGUAACUCAAGCUUCCGCUGACCCAACACCCUCUUAGCUCUGCAGGCACUUGCACACGUGUGUGCCUGCACACACACACACACACACACACACACACACACACUUUUUUAAAAAAAAUCUUCCCAAGAGAGAAGGCCAAAACAAGGGAUAGCCAGAGAAGCGCUGACUAAGCUUACCAUGAGGCAAAGGGUUCAGAAUAAUAAAAGGCUAUGUCCCACCCCUACCUCAAUUAAAGUAAGUUUUGAAAUAGAUCCCCUAGGCCCAGGAUAAUCCUCAUUCAACUAAGAAAAGGACAAAAGAGAAAUCAAGUCAGGCCUGAACCCGUGGGAUUGAAAUGUGAACCCACAAAGCUGAAAAAUCUCUAUGCUUCCCAUUUCAUUAGGCCCCCCUUGAAUCAUGGGAGAUUCUCAUGUUUAAGAGUCAGGACCAAAGGAUUAGCUGUCCAUGGGAUCAUGAGGCCUUCAGCAGAAGCCAAGUCUAUGACCCAGCUCCUUCAAGUUCCAGACAGAAGGAAGCAAAUGACAAACAGGGCUGGAAGACUGAAUGGGCUUUGCACUGGCCUCAAGUUCUUCUCUUGGUGCAUAAACAUGGAGUCUGCAUGAUCCUAGAAAUUGGUCCUUAGCAGCCUUCAAGACUUGGAACUGGAUGCUCCUUUCCAGGGAGUAGCUUUUUGACUGAGAACUUACAGAUCUGCUAAGUCCCAAACAGGCACGUGUAACUCAGGCCAACUACCGUCUUCAGUUGGUAAUCUUCACUCCAACAUAUUAUUUUUUUUAAAGAUUUAUUUAUUUUAUGCAUAUGAGUACACUGUAGCUGUCUUCAGAUAUACAAGAUCCCAUUACAGAUGGUUGGGAGCCACCAUGUGGUUGCUGGGAAUUGAACUCAGGACCUCUGGAAGAGCAGGCAGUGCUCUUAACCACUGAGCCAUCUCUCCAGCCCCCACUCUAACAUUUUAAAGCCAGACCUUGCCCUCAUACUGAGCUUAGUUCUCACGCCUUGCUGUGCAGGCAGAGGGGAAAUGAGUGAGCCAACCGCAUUCUGCCCUGAGCUCAGGACUCACAGGUGGCUUCGUUACUGCCUGCCUCCAAACUCCUCAUCAUCUAGCCUAGGGUGGAAAGAAUCACAUUCAAUCCCCAGUGUAAAAAUCAUAGCAUUCAGCUCAAACUGGGAACCAAGUCACAGCAGCCAUCUUAACUAGGGACUUCAGACCCCCCUCCCCGCCCCCAACCUGCUUCUCAUACCUUGGUCUUCCCAGUUCUGUGCCUGGUACAUUUCUGGCCUGGGAAGUCAAGGCUUGUCAAGGCUGUGUUAACUGUGCCUAUGGAAGAAUAUCAUCAAUAGGCCCUGAGCAUGUAGAAACCGAGAAAUGAAUCCAUGCCUGCCAAAUGUACAGUGUGAUGCCGCUUCUAAAAAAGGAGCCUGUUUGAAAUUCAAGAGCAUCUUACAGCACUGCUUAAAUAAUCUGUGGGUGGAAACUGCUGGAAGCCUUCUGUCUGCAGGGAGGAUGCUCACUCAUGGAGACCCUGCAGAUCUGCACCAGACCAUCAAUUACAGAAGUGUAGCCUACAACUCCUUCAUGGUGUGCUAAGUCCUGAGACACUUCUGGUGGAAAUGGUGCUUGGUUUUGUCAUGAAUUUGAAUACUCCAGUACACACAGAGCUUCCCACAAACCAUCAACUAAACAUUGUAUCUAUGUAAAUACCCAGGUUAUUUUUACCACAGGACAGGAAAAAAAAAAGUGGUGCUAUUUCUUCACAUUCUCCCCUGAAACCAUCACACCAGCUCCCGGAGAAAAACCUCUCGACAGAUGGCUCUAGUCCCUGGUGCUCAGAGAAGCAGCAACAGUCCUGAACUGCCGGCAAGCUACCGAAGUGCACGAGGAGUGAGGAGUGGCGUCGACCCCUUUCUUCAGAAAGGUUCGGGGGUUGUGAGUUCAAAUCCUGACUCCAGGGAGCUACGUCAUGUUAAGAAAGUGACUCGGUCUCAUCAGGUCCCACUUCUUCCCACCUGAGAUGAAGUCAAGGGCGGACACCUUUGUGGGGACACGGCAAGGAUUAAGACUAGUCACUCCAGAUCAGUGGUUCUCAACCUGUGGGUGGUGCCCCCUCUGGGGUCACAUAUCAGACACCCUGCACAUGAAAUAUUUACAUUGUGAUUCAUAACAGGAGCGAAAUUACAGUUGUGAAGUAGUGACAAAAAUAAUUGUAUGGUUGCAGUGGAGGGGGUGUGGGCCCCCACAACAGGGGGAACUGUGUUCAAAGGUCACAGCGUUAGGAAGGUUGAGAAACCAUGGCUCUAGAGCCUGGCACAGUGCAGGCUUAGCUCUUUACUGCCUCAUGUCAUUGUCUUGGGGAUGGAGUUCUACAAAAGCACACUGGACGGUGACAAUGCCCCUACAGCACCCCUGACACUACCGCCAUCCAUGUCUCUCCUAAGAACCUUGAGCAGGACCCCAGAAUAAGCACACAGUCAGGCUGCAAUCAGCCCUGCUAUGCUCCCGGGCCCCAAGAGUAGCCCCAAAGCCACAGAGAAGCCUUGAUGUCUAGGAGUAGGGCAGAGCAGGACACCACGUGCAGGGUCCAUUCAGUGAGUACUUACUAUGGGCCAGGUCCUAGGUACAGCAUGCUUCAAACCUCGAAUUUCCUCCUCCCAGCAUCACAGGGAAGGUGCUGUUAUCCCACUUUAUAAGUAAGAAGGCUGCAGGUCAGGAAAUAAAAGGCCGUCUGAGGUUCCUGUGACUCUGAGACCAGGACCCGACUCUGGCUUGGCUAGAUGGAGAAUUGUGCUCAAUGACAACAGACUGCCGAGGCAGGGUGCCAGGCCUGAGGGCUGCUCUCCCUCCCCCAACAUAGCCUUCUGUGGUACAUCUGGCCAGGACAGUGAAUUCUAGGCAUGACUGGUGUAAGGGGGAGGGUGAGCCUUUCCUGCUCCUGCCCAUGCCCUUUGGGCUGCUCACACUGUACCUUCAUUAGCCAAACGUGUGACAGUUAAAAUGCUAUGUGAGUCCUCAAGGGAAGGGCGCCUUAAUCCAUGGUUGGCAUAGACGCCAGGAAGCUGCACAUUAGACUGAGCAUGAGUAAGAGAAGGGAACAGGGUACAGGAGUGUUUGGGGGCAGGAGACCCUAAUGAAAGGGACUAGCAGGUAAAGUCCUUUUUAAAGCUGGCCCAUUCGAUGUCCCCCACACUUCAGCCAUCUUCCGAGUCUGAGGCCAAUGACCCCCUUCGUGCUGAGACAUGUACCUGAAGUUGUUUUGCUCUCUGUUUCCUUUCGAGCAGCUCACUCGUACUUUACCAGUGGCAGGUGGGGAACCUGAAGCUUGCUAUUCCUGGGUUCCCAAGGUCACUGCAGGGUGUCGCUCCCAACAGUGAGCAAGGAGCUUGAGCCACAAGCGUAGCCAUUGGGAGCUAUCACAGUUCUCCGAGUGCCUUCAGUCUCUUCUCACGUCAGCCACCAAGUCCAGUCCCCACCCUCAUUUCUCCCAGAACUCUUCAGUGAGGCCCUGGGGAACAGCAACUCACAGCCACACACAGCCCAUCAAGUACCCUGCCUCUAAGCAUUCCAGCCCCAUCAACGGCUCAAGUCCACACACCUCAAGGCCCAUCCCUAUUCUGGGCCACUCUUGCCCCACAUGCUUCUGCUUCCCUACCUAUAAAAUGUCCAGCGUAUAAAACCAUUUUCCCUGUAAGACUGUUGCAAACACUAAACAGGGGCAGACAUGGAAAAAUCCUUGGACUUACACCCGGCACACGCAGUGAGGAUCAGCUGCUAUCCCAUCUUCCCUGCUCCUGCAUCAUCCCGGCACCAUCUUAUUCCACCUCCAUGGUCCAUGUCACCCCACCGUCCUCCUGUCUCCAGGAGCACCAGCAUCUCCAAGACCUUAGUCACCACCCUUCCUACCUGGGCUCCUCUCCUCUGCUCAGGAUUCCACCCCAGGUCUCUGUUUUGUGGGUCUGAGACCAGGUAUGCUGCCUGGCUUGCAAGGUCAUCCUUCUUCAGCCUGCCUCACCUCCGCACUGCAUGACGACUAGCACCACUCCUGGUUUAGGCAAACUCUUCUUGUCUCUGGAACCCUUCUUUCCUUGCUGGUGGGUGUUAGGUCUCAAAUCUGGGUCAUACAGCAGAUACGCCUAAUAAAGUAUCCAAGUGGACUCCAGCCACCAGGUUUUCCCAGCCUCUCCUAGUCCCUACCUGUUACAGGGUCCUCCUGGCUGGCAUACCCCACCCCCUACCCUGAACUCUCUAGCCCGAGGGCUAGGUUACCUACCCCCUUCCCUCAGCUCCUUUGGCCUCUGUAUAACUCAACCAUGUUGGCUGCCCCAUUGCCUUGGCCAAUCUCUUGGCCUAGUCCACCCGCCUUGGUCAGUGGCUCCCCUCUUGCUCUCCCUUCCCUCUCUCCUCACCUGGCCCAGCUCACAAUUAUGUUCACUCUUAACCCUUCCAGAAGCCUCUGGCUAUGAUUUCCUUCAUAUCUACAGUAAACCUUCUCCUUAACCAUACCUGGGACUAUCAUGUCCUCUUUUUUAUUUCUUUCUUUCAGUCUGUCCUUUAAGAAAAGAAGAGAGAAAGGGGCAGAUCUUUUCCCAUCUUACCAAUAGGCACUUAGUAUCUUUUCGUCCAAUGUACUCCCUGUGCUCUGCUGCAACCUCAAAGGCAUGCCCAAGCCUGCUUCUAGUUGGUGUCCCUUAAAGCAUGCAGACCUCGGCACAUGGGAGACAGCAUGGCAGGGGCUCUGGGCCAAUAGCCUUACACUCACAAGUGCCACAGCUUGAAGCCACAACAUCCAGCUCAAACCACCCAGCCUCUGCCUCAUCCCACUCAACUGAAACACGAGAACACACAGCAAGCCCUCCAGCCAGGACACGCAAGGCUAGCUCCUGCCCACCUUCAACCAUCAAGGCUGCUAUUGGGAAUCAGGAUACUCCCUAGUGGAGGGCAAGCAUCCAUUUGCUUCAGAGGGCUGCAGGGGGCUGACGCUGGCUUUCUCUAAGGAGUGGCCUUCCCUAUCCUCUCCCCACAGACCUUGCUCCUUUGCAAAGCUGCUUUUGUGUUCAGGACAAUAAAACUAGCAAAACUGUGCAGAA